This 495-nucleotide ribosomal RNA is filed under the name uncultured bacterium. RNAcentral's name for it is "partial 16S ribosomal RNA". It matches the Rfam family "Bacterial small subunit ribosomal RNA", at positions 28 to 507 of the family's 1533-position model. The record is from RNAcentral.
GACGAACGCUGGCGGCGUGCCUAAUACAUGCAAGUAGAACGCUGAAGGAGGAGCUUGCUUCUCUGGAUGAGUUGCGAACGGGUGAGUAACGCGUAGGUAACCUGCCUGGUAGCGGGGGAUAACUAUUGGAAACGAUAGCUAAUACCGCAUAAGAGUAGAUGUUGCAUGACAUUUGCUUAAAAGGUGCAAUUGCAUCACUACCAGAUGGACCUGCGUUGUAUUAGCUAGUUGGUGGGGUAACGGCUCACCAAGGCGACGAUACAUAGCCGACCUGAGAGGGUGAACGGCCACACUGGGACUGAGACACGGCCCAGACUCCUACGGGAGGCAGCAGUAGGGAAUCUUAGGCAAUGGACGGAAGUCUGACCGAGCAACGCCGCGGGAGUGAAGAAGGUUGUCGGAUCGUAAAGCUCUGUUGUAAGAGAAGAACGAGUGUGAGAGUGGAAAGUUCACACUGUGACGGUAUCUGACCAGAAAGAGACGGCUAACUACGUG